Long non-coding RNA from Ictalurus punctatus (channel catfish), 1302 nucleotides. The record is from Ensembl. Lineage: Eukaryota; Metazoa; Chordata; Actinopteri; Siluriformes; Ictaluridae.
AUUUGAACUCAGUAGUCGUUUUCUUUACUCGCAGGUCUGUCGUUAGACGAUCUUCCCUGUAUAAUCCGACAUGUUGUCUGUGAUAGUAUUCGGCCAAGGUUUUACUGGGAUCUCGUCUAACCAGAAUUAAUCUUCGAAAAGAUACGGAUUAUGUCAAACCAGCAAAGGAGUACUACUACUACUACUACUACUAAAACUCGCUCACGUGUACUGUAAAGAUCUUUAUAACUCUCUGAAAGGGCACGGCAUGGUGUCACCCCUUCUCCUCGCUCACCUCUCACCUACAUCGGAUCCUGAACCGAAGCUGCCUGGUGACAUAUUGGCCCCAUUAGUGGUGUGUAGAAAAGCGCUACAGUGUAAUGCUAACCUUUCCCCUAGAUCAUGCUUUAGCACGAGUAGAUAAGCUGUGCAAAUCCUUACAAUCUAGCAGCGAGGAGCCGACUGAAGGAACACAGCUAUAUCAUACUCGGCUUAUCACUUGCACCGGCUCCGGGCUGCGUUCGAAAAGACUCCCUAUUGGAGGACGGAUCCGUCAAAGAGUCGAGCGUGCGGUGAAGCCGCUCGGCGAGAGUCGCACGUGGGACGCGUGCUGUUCAGACCCGAGACUGACGUGGCACUUUGGCGAAGUCCUCGACCAAUCGCGGUUAGGUGCAGUUCCUGCUUCGAUCCUGAGCUCGGGCGAUUAUCCACAUAUUCUCAUCGGGUUUCUUUUGGGUUUCUCACUCCCAGUGUUCCCGGGAUAGGCUUUGAAUCGACUGAGCAGGAUAAAGCGCUUGUCGAGGAUGAAUAAAUCCAUGCUUUCUUCCUUCCUGCUCUGUGAAAGAUUAGACAAAAAUCAGGGGUUCGGUCGGGAUGUCGGAGGUUCGCGAGCUCCAACAAUGUUGAAACACUGUCAUUUUCGGUAACAUUUCCAUCCCGCUUCCGUCGGGGUCACGGUGGACCCCGGGCAAUGCGUACACUCCUUCACACCUAGAGUCCACCAGUCCACCUACAGUAUGUUUCUGGGAUGGUAGAGGAAACCAGAGAACCCAAAGAAAACCCAGACAGACACGGGGAGAACCUGAGAAGUGAUCCAUCCUCAGGUCGGUCGUAAUAUCUUCACUGAAUGUCUAACUGACCAGCGCGAACCCUUCAGCUGUGACAGGCAGGAUGAUGUGAUGGAACACAGACUGGGAUCUGACCUCAUACUGAGCAUGUGCAUUAGACAGGAGAUAAAAACAAGAUAUGACAGUAGAUGUGUGUGUGUGUGUGUAGAUGAGAGACAGAGAGAGACAAGUGAGUGAGUGAGAGAGAGAGAGUGAG